RNAcentral lists this ribosomal RNA (253 nucleotides) under uncultured bacterium. Its description in RNAcentral is "partial 16S ribosomal RNA". It matches the Rfam family "Bacterial small subunit ribosomal RNA", at positions 524 to 776 of the family's 1533-position model. The record is from RNAcentral.
UACGAAGGGGGCUAGCGUUGUUCGGAAUUACUGGGCGUAAAGCGCACGUAGGCGGAUUUGUAAGUAGGGGGUGAAAUCCCAGGGCUCAACCCUGGAACUGCCUUCUAAACUGCAAGCCUGGAGGUCAGGAGAGGCGAGUGGAAUACCGAGUGUAGAGGUGAAAUUCGUAGAUAUUCGGUGGAACACCAGUGGCGAAGGCGACUCGCUGGACUGAUACUGACGCUGAGGUGCGAAAGCGUGGGGAGCAAACAGG